CUCUUUUCUCUGCCAGUUGGCAAGGGAGGAGUUUCCCUUUCCCUUCCCCUUCCCAUUGGUUCACAGCCUCCGAAUGCAAUUGGCCGGCGAGCACCCAAUGAAUGUUUUUUCCGGACUCAAGUCCCCUCUCCCCGAAUAUUCAAUUUCUCGUAAGAAAAAAAUUGUUCCUUCUCGAGAACCGUAGUGAGGGCAGAGGUAGUGGAGGAGAGGGCGGAAAUACCUGAAGCCUCAUUCCAUCAAACCGGGUUUCCAUCAUCAGUUGUACUGUACAACCAGCAACUUUUAAUUCAUCCCUAAAUUUGUCCAUUACAGCUAUUCACGGCAGGUCUUUGUAACCUGACAGCAGAAGUCUAACCAUGUCUAUUCAGAAGUAAGCCCUAUUGAAUUCAAUGGCACUUACUCCCAGGUAAAUAGGAAGAGUCCCAACAGGAAGAGUUCUUGUUUCAGCUGACUACUAACUUUCAAAAUCCUCUUUAUCAAUUUGUGUAUUUGUAUCAAGUAUUUUUUAGCUUUUUGAACAAACACCAAGCAUGAUAAAGUGUCCCUUCGUGUUCUUGACAUUUUCAACAAAUAUUUGGAUCAUUUUUAUACAUUCUAAAUAAUUUCUCAGGAGUUAAAUACCAAUGGUACAUAAUUUUGUAAAAAUUCUAUUUUAGAACAUAGCACAGUAUGUAUUUUAACUCUUUUGCCUAUACAUAUAUGUUCCCACUGUUCCAUCUGUAUAACCAACACUUUUUGCUCAUUUAAUCCUGCAUUAUUUAACUAGUUCUUCUUAGAUUUCAAAUUUCAACAAACGUUUAAACAUUUUUUAUAUAACAUGUUCACCAUCCUUACACAAUUGCUUCUCAGAAUCCAUCUUGCUUUGUUCCAUACCUCAAGUCUUUCCCCCCAACUUAAGUCUCUCUGCUGAUUGUAAGUGAGAAAAACCACUGAAAAUUUUAACCUUCCACUGUUAAUUGUUCCCUUGUUUUAAUUUUACAAUCUCCUUGAUUCCACCGUGGGUUAGGUUAUAAAUGUAAGCAUAAUCAUUCAAGAUUAAUUGUUGUGCAUGCUGCUGGUGUGUUGCUUAUUAAUGAUUAAAGGCCUUCAUUAUGACUGGCCAUGAAUAGGGUCCAGAAAUAGAAGAAUCAUUAAUAUGUAACUCAACGGAGUUGGUUUGUCACAUUUGUGCUAUGACGCUUGCCCUCUAGGAAGUAAGCUCCUUUCCCAGUUGUUUGUAAUUGUGCUUUGAAAGAGAUGAAGCUGAUGUGGCUACUAAAAUUAUCUAAGCAACAGUUUGGAUUAUGAUGCUAGACCAAAAUUAGGGAGAAAAGCAAGUCUGGUUUAAGCUCUCAUAUAGGAAGGACGGACAUUUUAAGUGGAUUAUGGCAACCGGCACCAUGGUGCUAGGACUGGUGGUUGCACCCAUGGGAUGGGUUCUGAUGCUGGCAGCUACAGUAACACCAGAAUGGCGGGAGUUCCCCAAAAGACCUGGUUUCCCUCAAGAUGUCUCCUUCAGUGAUGGCCUUUGGGAGAGCUGUAUGGAGAUGACCAGCAUACAAGACAAG
RNAcentral lists this long non-coding RNA (1547 nucleotides) under Podarcis lilfordi (Lilford's wall lizard). The record is from RNAcentral. Lineage: Eukaryota; Metazoa; Chordata; Lepidosauria; Squamata; Lacertidae.